Molecule: ribosomal RNA, 467 nt
Filed under: uncultured bacterium
Lineage: Bacteria
Description: partial 16S ribosomal RNA
Rfam family: Bacterial small subunit ribosomal RNA
Source: RNAcentral
ACGCACGCUGGCGGCGUGCUUAACACAUGCAAGUCGAACGGAAAGGCCCUGCUUUUGUGGGGUGCUCGAGUGGCGAACGGGUGAGUAACACGUGAGUAACCUGCCCUUGACGUUGGGAUAACUUCAGGAAACUGGGGCUAAUACCGGAUAGGAGCUCCUGCUGCAUGGUGGGGGUUGGAAAGUUUCGGCGGUUGGGGAUGGACUCGCGGCUUAUCAGCUUGUUGGUGGGGUAGUGGCUUACCAAGGCUUUGACGGGUAGCCGGCCUGAGAGGGUGACCGGCCACAUUGGGACUGAGAUACGGCCCAGACUCCUACGGGAGGCAGCAGUGGGGAAUAUUGCACAAUGGGCGGAAGCCUGAUGCAGCAACGCCGCGUGCGGGAUGACGGCCUUCGGGUUGUAAACCGCUUUCGCCUGUGACGAAGCGUGAGUGACGGUAAUGGGUAAAGAAGCACCGGCUAACUACGUG